This 1389-nucleotide long non-coding RNA is filed under the name Macaca mulatta (Rhesus monkey). RNAcentral's name for it is "lncRNA (ENSMMUG00000056615.1)". Lineage: Eukaryota; Metazoa; Chordata; Mammalia; Primates; Cercopithecidae. The record is from RNAcentral.
AUGCCAUGGAACCUGAUGGAUUGCAGUUUGUUGCAGGAUGCACCAGUGAAAGUGACUUUUACCAGCCACUGCUUUUCACUGUUCCUCUGGUUAGCAGCAUUUCUCUUCCUGAGCCAGCAUUUUGACAACGUGUCCUUAUCAUCAGCGUUUGCCUGUUUUGUCUUUGAUCUACAAAAGACAUCUGUUUUACCCCAAUGCAGUCUCUGGAGGUGCACUGGCUGUUUUGUGUAUGAACUGCAGUUCCUGGCGAUUCUGAUUUCAAUGUGAAAAUCUAAUAUUCUAAAGGACUCUGUGGAUCACUAUGUAAUUUUCUUAACAGGGGUUGUAAAAGUAACUUUCUUAGUCACAUGCCUGCAAACCCCACUGCUUCCCAAACUCUGUAAUCAGGAGAAGGGCUGACCUAGUGAAUACCCUUGGAUGACUGGAGGGAAAAAAAAUAGUCUACACAGGAAAUCUCUACUUCAAACUCAUGGGCUUGCAUAGCUCAGAAAUCCCGGGGGCAGACUAAUAGCUAGUGGGGUUGUAUCUUUAUUUGAGCAGAAACAGACUUUCAGGAAUUUUCCAUGGGAACUUGCCCUCAUCCGUCUAGGGUAAACCUUAAAUGAAAAUACGGGCUACUGGCCACCUCGAUGAAAAGGAGGGGGUAUUUUUGUUUUCCUUCUUAUCCUCUUAGCACAGCCAGGAGGAAUACCCUGUUCUGUUGCAUGUACUAAAAUGUUCCCAGAUUUUCUCAACAGCAUACUUUAAAAUAGAACAGCAGCGUGGAAAAUAAGUAAAUAAAUACAAAGAACAUGUCAGAGAAACCCUCUAGAUCUCCUGAACACAGUUGAGUUAUCUCUGCAAAUUAGGCUGGAGAAAAUUCUGCUUAGCAUGGUGCACAUCAGCCUACAGAGAAAACACGUCGUGGAGAAGUGAACUUGCCUGACCCAGCUUGGGCGGACGUGCCGAUGGGGAUAUCUGGGCAAAAUGAAAGCUGUUUAUCUACUACUGUCUCUUACCGUGACCAGCAGCACCUAGAACAUGGAACUCACAGACACAAGCUUCUCCGCUCUGGAUCCCUAAAAUUUCAAUUGGUAGAAAACCAGCUGCAGAAGAUGAGAUCACAGAAGGUUGUCCCAUUCCUCCCCAACCCAGACCACACAGGCCAGUGAAUUGCAGACAGGGAAAGGCAAGGAAAUGUCAGCAAUUAUUAAUGAAUCCCUUCAAAGACCUCAAUCCUAGAUGGGUAAUUCAGCAGAAAUCAAGACCUAGCUCACUUUUUUUUUUUUUUUUUUUUUUUUUUGAGAUGAAGUCUUACUCUGUUGUCCAGGCUGGAGUGCAGUGAUGGAAUCUUGGCACACUGCAACCUCCACCUCCUGGGUUCAGACGUUUCUCCUGCCUCAGACUCCC